Long non-coding RNA from Diceros bicornis minor, 435 nucleotides. RefSeq lists it as uncharacterized. The transcript has 4 exons. The record is from RefSeq and is a predicted model, not a curated record. NCBI's taxonomy places the organism in Eukaryota, Metazoa, Chordata, Mammalia, Perissodactyla, Rhinocerotidae.
CCCCCGGCCGCAGUGGCGGUGUCCCCACUUGGCACUGAGAGCCUGCUGUAUGCCAGACACUGCACUGGCUGGGAACACAGGACGAUUACUAUUGUCUCAAGCUGCUCAUGGUCCAGUGGAGGAGGCAAACACAGGAACAGAAAUUGAUGACUCAACGUGCUGGGUAUAAUAAUGGAGGUAGAGGACAGACUCCUUUCUACCCAUGGAGAGAGCAGCUCAACAUGUAGACCUGGAUCAGGACAGCAGUCACAAGGAAUCUUCGAAAUAGCUCUCUCAGGGCUGGCCUGGUGGCCCAGCAGUUAAGUGCGUGCACUCUGCUUCAGUGGCCUGGGGUUCAAGGUUCGGAUUCCGGAUCCUGGGCGCACACGGACACACUGCUUGUCAAGCCAUGCUGGGACGGCGUCUUAUAUAAAGUAGAGGAAGAUGGGCACAGAU